AACGAACGCUGGCGGCAUGCCUAACACAUGCAAGUCGAACGAGACCUUCGGGUCUAGUGGCGCACGGGUGCGUAACGCGUGGGAACCUGCCCUUAGGUUCGGAAUAACUCCCCGAAAGGGGUGCUAAUACCGGAUAAUGUCUUCGGACCAAAGAUUUAUCGCCUUUGGAUGGGCCCGCGUUGGAUUAGCUAGUUGGUAGGGUAAAAGCCUACCAAGGCGACGAUCCAUAGCUGGUCUGAGAGGAUGAUCAGCCACACUGGGACUGAGACACGGCCCAGACUCCUACGGGAGGCAGCAGUGGGGAAUAUUGGACAAUGGGCGAAAGCCUGAUCCAGCAAUGCCGCGUGAGUGAUGAAGGCCUUAGGGUGGUAAAGCUCUUUUACCCGGGAUGAUAAGGACAGGACCGGGAGAAUAAGCUCCGGCGAACUCCGG
Molecule: ribosomal RNA, 432 nt
Filed under: uncultured bacterium
Lineage: Bacteria
Description: partial 16S ribosomal RNA
Rfam family: Bacterial small subunit ribosomal RNA
Source: RNAcentral